ACGGGAGGCAGCAGUGGGGAAUAUUGGGCAAUGGGGGCAACCCUGACCCAGCAACGCCGCGUGAAGGAAGAAGGCUUUCGGGUUGUAAACUUCUUUGACGAGAGACGAUAAUGACGGUACCUCGAAAACAAGCCACGGCUAACUACGUGCCAGCAGCCGCGGUAAUACGUAGGUGGCGAGCGUUAUCCGGAUUUACUGGGUGUAAAGGGCGCGUAGGCGGGGAUGCAAGUCAGAUGUGAAAUCUAUGGGCUUAACUCAUAAACUGCAUUUGAAACUGUAUCUCUUGAGUGUCGGAGAGGUAGAUGGAAUUCCUAGUGUAGCGGUGAAAUGCGUAGAUAUUAGGAGGAACACCAGUGGCGAAGGCGAUCUACUGGACGAUAACUGACGCUGAGGCGCGAAAGCGUGGGGAGCAAACAGGAUUAGAUACCCUGGUA
Molecule: ribosomal RNA, 434 nt
Filed under: uncultured Clostridium sp.
Lineage: Bacteria; Bacillati; Bacillota; Clostridia; Eubacteriales; Clostridiaceae
Description: partial 16S ribosomal RNA
Rfam family: Bacterial small subunit ribosomal RNA
Source: RNAcentral